This 403-nucleotide ribosomal RNA is filed under the name uncultured bacterium. RNAcentral's name for it is "partial 16S ribosomal RNA". It matches the Rfam family "Bacterial small subunit ribosomal RNA", at positions 30 to 526 of the family's 1533-position model. The record is from RNAcentral.
AUUGAACGCUGGCGGCAGGCCUAACACAUGCAAGUCGAGCGAGCGGCGGACGGGGGAGUAAUGUAUGGGGACUGCCCGAUAAAGGGGGAUAACUACUGGAAACGGUAGCUAAUACCGCAUACUAUCGGAUAACCCAUAUGGGAUUAGCUAGUAGGUGAGGUAAUGGCUUACGUAGGCGACGAUCCAUAGCUGGUCUGAGUGGAUGAUCCGCCACACUGGGACUGAGACACGGCCCAUACUCCUACGGAGGCAGCAGUGGUGAAUAUUGCACAAUGUGCGCAAGCCUGAUGGAGCCAUGUCGCGUGUAUGAAGAAGGCCCUAGGGUUGUAAAGUACUUUCAGUCGGUAGGCGUUACCGACAGAAGAAGCACCGGCUAACUCCGUGCCAGCAGCCGCGGUAAUUC